Molecule: ribosomal RNA, 253 nt
Filed under: uncultured bacterium
Lineage: Bacteria
Description: partial 16S ribosomal RNA
Rfam family: Bacterial small subunit ribosomal RNA
Source: RNAcentral
UACGUAGGUGGCAAGCGUUGUCCGGAUUUAUUGGGUUUAAAGGGUGCGUAGGCGGCCAACUAAGUCAGACGUGAAAUCCCUCAGCUUAACUGGGGAACUGCGUCUGAUACUGGAUGGCUUGGAUUCGGGAGAGGAAUGCGGAAUUCCAGGUGUAGCGGUGAAAUGCGUAGAUAUCUGGAGGAACACCGGUGGCGAAGGCGGCAUUCUGGACCGACAUUGACGCUGAGGAGCGAAAGCCAGGGGAGCAAACGGG